Molecule: ribosomal RNA, 459 nt
Filed under: uncultured bacterium
Lineage: Bacteria
Description: partial 16S ribosomal RNA
Rfam family: Bacterial small subunit ribosomal RNA
Source: RNAcentral
CCUACGGGUGGCAGCAGUGAGGCAUAUUGGUCAAUGGGCGGGAGCCUGAACCAGCCAAGUCGCGUGAAGGAAGAAGGUACUUAGUAUUGUAAACUUCUUUUGUCGGGGAACAAAGGCGGAGACGCGUCUCCGGAUGAGUGUCCCCGAAGAACAAGCAUCGGCUAACUCCGUGCCAGCAGCCGCGGUAAUACGGGGGAGGCGAGCGUUAUCUGAAUUGAUUGGGGUUAAAGGGAGCGCAGGCGGGUGAUCAAGUCAGCGGUAAAAUGCCGGGGCUCAACCCCGGCCGGCCGUUGAAACUGGUAUUCUAGAGUUGCAGAGAGGUGUGCAGAAUUCGUGGUGUAGCGGUGAAAUGCAUAGAUAUCACGAAGAACUCCGAUUGCGAAGGCAGCAUACCGGCUCCAUACUGACGCUGAGGCACGAAAGCGUGGGGAUCGAACAGGAUUAGAUACCCGGGUAGUC